GGGCUCCCCCUGGGUGCACAUUUCGUUUUUACCCCAAGCGCUACACAGCUAAUUAAAAUAACCGACUCAUCACCAAACUUGGAUUAUUUUAAUCAGCUGUGUAGUGCUAGGGCAAAAAAACAAAACCUAGUUUGGAAAACGCUGAUCUAUAGGGUUGAACUGCAGCGUUGACAUUUUUCCUGUAGAGAGCAGUAGACAUUUUGAUAAAACUCUCUUGGCUGCAUACUGCACGCACCCAUACUGUAAAGGAGAGGGGCCUAUAUGUAGUAUUGCUGUCUGUUGCGUUUCCCGGUCGUAGCAGCGGAACGAGAACGGUGCUAAAAUGUCCAUAGUGGAAAACCAGAGUAUUAAGAGCUCAUUUACUCCGUUUCUGGAAUAGUCUGCUCAACUAUUUGCAUCCGUGUUUACGGAUGGUUGGUUAACGUUUCCCGUCUGAUAAAUUCUAAACUGCGUUGUUCGUUAAAUUCCUGACCAGGAGAUACGUACGACUACCACCGGUAGCCAGGGAAACUGGUUGGAUUUGACACUUGUAUCGGCCCGGGACUGCCAUGGAAAAGACACCUCCUUUAUUCGUCUGCGGCAAGGUGCAGGCAGACUGAUCCACUGGAAAGCACCUUUUCAGGAGGUAGACAAGGACAGAGCGGUGGUGCACGUCUCAGAGGCUUUGAGACCCAGGGCUUGCCAAGCUAGUGGGUUGCUGCCUAAAACCAACACGGAAAGAGCCUGAAACAGUUUGCCUGGGUGGCAGCAUCACAUCUUCAGACCCAGGAAAAUGGCACGCCUGGGAGGCAGUCAAAACCAGAAAGCUGCAUGCUUGGGGGACAGUCACUUACAUUAAACAGCACAGCGGCAGGCCUGAAUGGUUUGGGGAACUUAAGAGGAGCGCGCUGCAUUAGGGGCUGAGAUGGACUAAUAAGGGAGCCUGGGUUGCAUCAUCGGCCAAUAAUAGCUCACCUCGAGGAAAGGGCUGUAAGAAGAACAGUAAGACCCAGCAGAGCGCGGUGAUCAGAACAAUCCACAGGUGAGUUCUCUGGUUCCUUCCCACUUGGCCCUUUCUCGCAGCCUUAUGAUGCAGUGGGUGAAACA
RNAcentral lists this long non-coding RNA (1086 nucleotides) under Oncorhynchus kisutch (coho salmon). Its description in RNAcentral is "lncRNA (ENSOKIG00005032150.1)". Lineage: Eukaryota; Metazoa; Chordata; Actinopteri; Salmoniformes; Salmonidae. The record is from RNAcentral.